RNAcentral lists this long non-coding RNA (623 nucleotides) under Homo sapiens (human). RNAcentral describes it as "HSALNT0037205". The record is from RNAcentral. Lineage: Eukaryota; Metazoa; Chordata; Mammalia; Primates; Hominidae.
CGACUCCAGAUGUGGAGAUGUUCACCCCGGGAGAUGGUAUGAGGAUGUUCACCCUGGGAGACGGUGGCAAGUCUUGUGUCUAGAAGAGAACUUAGAAAAACACUGACAUUUACAGAAACCUGGAAAUAGGAUGAAGAUGAAGAGGGCUUGGUUCUAGUCCUGGUAAGGAUGAGUCAUUAACUUACUAACUCUUCAGUAUGAAAGUGUUUAUCCCUCUUUCUUUUCCUGAGAGGAAAAAGCAUGAACACCUUAAUUACUAAAAUGGAGAGAUCCAUGAAGGAGUAGAGUGAGGAGGACCCCAGAGACAGAUUCCAACCACACUAUCGUCUGGCCAGAACCAGCAAUUGUAAUUCAACACUGUGCCAAGAAGACACCGCAUUGUCAAAAGGGCUGACUCCGCAGUUUUUGCACGGAGAAUGCCCAAGACUGCCAGAGAGCCAAUGUGUGCCUCUCAAAUAGUCACACAACUAUCUUUAGUACAUUGUACAGAACAUUGGCCAGAGCGGCAUUUGUUCUUGAAGACUCAUUUGACAGCAAGUGAUAUGUGAGUCUACCAAGGGUUUCUAGGAAAUCAGUUAAAAUCAAGAUAGAGCACAAAUUGCAAAAAGUCAUUAAAUGGGUGC